AUCCUACUCUCCCAACGACAAAAAAUUAGCUGAAGAAAUGCAGUGCCAAAAAUCACACUGACUUUAUUAGAAAAACCAUGAAUUCAUUCACCAGUUU
Chelonoidis abingdonii (Abingdon island giant tortoise) is the source of this 97-nucleotide non-coding RNA. The record is from RefSeq and is a predicted model, not a curated record. NCBI's taxonomy places the organism in Eukaryota, Metazoa, Chordata, Testudines, Testudinidae.